This 746-nucleotide long non-coding RNA is filed under the name Vigna radiata. Its description in RNAcentral is "long non-coding RNA (VRAD_LNC012950)". The record is from RNAcentral. Lineage: Eukaryota; Viridiplantae; Streptophyta; Magnoliopsida; Fabales; Fabaceae.
CAAAAUCCAAGAGCCAACACAAGAAGGUCAGAUAUUCUUCACAUGUUUUGAAUGGAAGCCAGGAGGGCAAGAUCAAGAGCNAAGAUGGUCCAAGGAAGGAAAGGGAUAAAACACCUCAUUUUCCUUACAUGUAUGGCACGACACAUUUAGUUUUCCAGCUGUCACACAUGUAACACAUGCUACUUGGUUAGAAAACAUUUUCCACAUGUAACACAUGCUACUUGGUUAGAAAACAUUCUAGAAGGCUAACACAUGCUGCACAUGGCUGCCUACGUGUCAGCAGAUCCACAUUCCAUGGAUCUAGUAUUUUCCUUGCCAAGGCCGAAGGGUAUGCUUAUAAAAAACCCAAGGCAGCUUCUGUAUGUUACUUUUGGAAAUUGAGAGAUUAUUUGUUGAUGAAUCUUCCAUCUUUUCUCCACCGAUAGUCAUUCAACUUGUGCUUCUUUUCCUUCUCCUCUAGCUUCCUUCCUAGAGAGGGCUUUCUGAGCUUGAUUCCCUGACCACCACAAGCACUUCAUACAUCAACUUCAAUCAUUAUCCAUAUCCUCCGCUGCUGCUAUGUCAAGUCCAUUAACCACUCAGAUCUGCUGCUGCCACUCACACACUCGGUUUUCUCCUCAUAGCAUUCUCCACCGUCACUGUUCCAUUGUUUGAACUCAUGGAUCUGAACUAUUUUCCAAGGCUGGAGAUAUCAUUUGGUAUCAGAGCAAGGUUCAAGAAGCAACCGUGAGCUAAGUCAUCUUUCC